UACAGAAGAUUUGGAAUAAGCAAAAAAGCUUUAAAUCAAUAGUCUAAACUGCUUGAUUUAAAGC
Molecule: small RNA, 64 nt
Filed under: Streptococcus pneumoniae AP200
Lineage: Bacteria; Bacillati; Bacillota; Bacilli; Lactobacillales; Streptococcaceae
Description: Streptococcus sRNA Spd-sr07
Rfam family: Streptococcus sRNA Spd-sr07
Source: Rfam by way of RNAcentral